This 643-nucleotide long non-coding RNA is filed under the name Anser brachyrhynchus (Pink-footed goose). RNAcentral's name for it is "lncRNA (ENSABRG00000016071.1)". Lineage: Eukaryota; Metazoa; Chordata; Aves; Anseriformes; Anatidae. The record is from RNAcentral.
UUUGGAUGCAGGAAAGGAUGUGGAUUAAUAUCUUGGAAAGACUCAGUAACAUAUGAAAUAGAUGAAAAUGAAAUAAAAAUAUUUUUUCCUUUCUGCUAGUGGCACCUGGCUUGGAUUCAGCCAACCGGACAAAGAGGAAACAGACCUCACAUCUUGACCUUUCUCCUGCACCCAGGUCUUUGUUCAUUCCAGGUUUCAGAAUUUCAUUUAAUCAUUCACACGCCUAUUUUGGAGACAGGCAAAGUUAAGUGCUCAGUGAAAGGUGAGUCUUGGGAAACUCUCUAUCAGUCCAGCAGAAAGUGUGCUAUUUUGAAAUGGUCUGAUUCGCUUGGUGUACAACUAUUCUGUGCUGACUUGCAUCAAGAGGAGCAAAGCAAACUAAAUUAAGUGCUUCUUAGGGGGAUCACCUUUUUACAUGCCCGAACCUGAUAUGGGAUAUUAGCCAUUCUCACUGAGAAUUGCAGAGGAUAUUAAUUUUAAGAGGUACAUUUCUGAAGACUCUUCUAAACAAAGCAAGAUGUCAGUUUUAUUUCUCCCAAAACACAGAGGUGCUCAUGCAUCACAGUGUUACUCUGCUCUGUGGCAUGUAAUUUCACUGAGUGGAAUCACAUUGGGUAGAAAUAGCCCCAUGAUAUUCAUUUUC